UAUUGGAAGUAUUCGAAUUAACAUAGCGAGUUAAAAUAAGGUUUAUCCGUAUUCAACUUUCAAAGUAUGCCUGUCUCGGGCAUUUUUUU
Molecule: small RNA, 89 nt
Filed under: Floricoccus tropicus
Lineage: Bacteria; Bacillati; Bacillota; Bacilli; Lactobacillales; Streptococcaceae
Description: Trans-activating crRNA
Rfam family: Trans-activating crRNA
About the family: RNA-guided Streptococcus pyogenes Cas9 (SpCas9) is a sequence-specific DNA endonuclease, the Trans-activating CRISPR RNA form an hybrid with the crRNA (crRNA/tracrRNA). The RNA hybrid acts as a guide for the endonuclease Cas9.
Source: Rfam by way of RNAcentral